RNAcentral lists this ribosomal RNA (383 nucleotides) under uncultured organism. RNAcentral describes it as "bacterial SSU rRNA". It matches the Rfam family "Bacterial small subunit ribosomal RNA", at positions 365 to 762 of the family's 1533-position model. The record is from RNAcentral.
UCCAAAAGGGGAAAACCCGACGGGGCAAUACCCCGUGAGGGAAGAAAGCCUAUGGGGUUUAAACCUUUUUUUUCUGGGAGGAAAAAAUUGACGUGUACCUGAAGAAUAAGCAUCGGCUAACUCCGUGCCAGCAGCCGCGGUAAUACAGGGGAUGCAAGCGUUAUCCGGAAUUAUUGGGCGUAAAGCGUCCUGAGGUGGCUUACCCAGUCGACUGUGAAAGCUCAAGGCUUAACCUUGAAACGGCAGUCGAAACUUGUAAGCUUGAGUACGGUAGGGGCAGAGGGAAUUCCCGGAGGAGAGGUGAAAUUCGUAGAUAUCGGGAGGAAGGCCAAAGGCGAAAGCACUCUGCUGGGCCGAUUACUUUCUUUUUCAGACCAAAGCUA